AGAGAGAGACAUGCGCGCAUAUCAAUAAGCGGAGGAAAAGGAACUAACAAGGAUUCCCUUAGUAACGGCGAGUGAAGCGGGAAGAGCUCAAAUUUGAAAUCUUCAAGGUUCUACCUUGACGAAUUGUAGUUUAUAGAAGUGCUUUCUGUUAGUGGAGUUUGGUAAAAGUUCUUUGGAAUAGGACAUCAUAGAGGGUGAGAAUCCCGUAUUUGGUCAUUCCUCCUAGCGUUGUGAUACACUUUCAACGAGUCGGAUUGUUUGGGAAUGCAGUCCAAAAUGGGUGGUAAAUUUCAUCUAAAGCUAAAUAUUGGCGAGAGACCGAUAGCGAACAAGUACCGUGAGGGAAAGAUGAAAAGAACUUUGAAAAGAGAGUUAAACAGUACGUGAAAUUGUCAAAAGGGAAGCGUUUGACACCAGUGUUGUUUUUCCGAAAAUCAAUUACGAAUGUUUUGUUUUUGAGGAGUUAUGACUUCAUCGGCUUGCUCCUUUCUUUACGAAACUUUCUUAAUGCACUUUUCGGUUAACAAGUCAACAUCAAUUUCUUUUGCUGUAAAAGGGGUAUGAGGAAGGUGGCUUUCUUUUCGGAGAAAGUGUUUAUAGCCUUGUGCCUCUGCAAUCGGAGAGAUUGAGGUCUGCAGCGUAGAUCCUUCGGGGUUAGAUACAUUGGUGCUAAGCUAUAGCCUUGUAUAGACAACUUGUUGACUAUGUUUAGUCUUGUAGCUUACUCGCUGACGCUAUUUUACCUACGCUUAGGAUGUUGAUAGUCACAGCGUGUAC
RNAcentral lists this ribosomal RNA (777 nucleotides) under uncultured Neocallimastigales. RNAcentral describes it as "partial large subunit ribosomal RNA". It matches the Rfam family "Eukaryotic large subunit ribosomal RNA", at positions 23 to 644 of the family's 3401-position model. Lineage: Eukaryota; Fungi; Neocallimastigomycota; Neocallimastigomycetes; Neocallimastigales. The record is from RNAcentral.